ACUCUUUUAGUAUAAAUAGUACAGUUGACUUCCAAUCAACUAGUUCCAACCAAACCUGGAAAAGAGUA
This 68-nucleotide transfer RNA is filed under the name Elephantulus fuscus (Dusky elephant shrew). RNAcentral's name for it is "tRNA-Gly". The record is from RNAcentral. Lineage: Eukaryota; Metazoa; Chordata; Mammalia; Macroscelidea; Macroscelididae.